Molecule: non-coding RNA, 412 nt
Organism: Pantoea sp. PSNIH2
Lineage: Bacteria; Pseudomonadati; Pseudomonadota; Gammaproteobacteria; Enterobacterales; Erwiniaceae
Source: Rfam
AUCGGUUUGGAAGACAGACCUUAUGAAAGCAGUUUUAGUAAAGCAGUCCUCAUUUAAAGCGUUAUCUCAGAUACCCCUUCUUCGUGAGCCUCUUCUAAGUGCCCAAUAAGUAUUCUCUGCAAUACAGACCUUUUAUGCCACACAAGCUGGCUCCUCAAUAAAGAAGGAAGUAUCUAUGUCUAAUAAAAUGACUGGCUUAGUAAAAUGGUUCAACGCUGAAAAAGGCUUCGGUUUUAUCUCUCCUGAAGACGGCAGCAAAGAUGUAUUCGUACAUUUCUCUGCUAUCCAGAGCAACGAUUUCAAAACCCUUGAUGAAGGUCAGAAAGUGCAGUUCUCUGUUGAGAACGGCGCGAAAGGCCCUUCAGCAACUAACGUUGUUGCGCUGUAAGACGCCUUCGCCUUAAUCCCCUUC